UCCCUGAAGGUCCAGUGGUUAGGAUUCAGCGCUUUCACUGCCAUAGCCCAGGUUCAAUCCCUGGUUGGGGAA
RNAcentral lists this transfer RNA (72 nucleotides) under Bos taurus (domestic cattle). It matches the Rfam family "tRNA". Rfam says of the family: Transfer RNA (tRNA) molecules are approximately 80 nucleotides in length. Their secondary structure includes four short double-helical elements and three loops (D, anti-codon, and T loops). Further hydrogen bonds mediate the characteristic L-shaped molecular structure. tRNAs have two regions of fundamental functional importance: the anti-codon, which is responsible for specific mRNA codon recognition, and the 3' end, to which the tRNAs corresponding amino acid is attached (by aminoacyl-tRNA synthetases). tRNAs cope with the degeneracy of the genetic code in two manners: having more than one tRNA (with a specific anti-codon) for a particular amino acid; and 'wobble' base-pairing, i.e. permitting non-standard base-pairing at the 3rd anti-codon position. RNAcentral also lists the same sequence under 2 other names. Lineage: Eukaryota; Metazoa; Chordata; Mammalia; Artiodactyla; Bovidae. The record is from Rfam by way of RNAcentral.